ACAGUAAAUCACAGGCUGGUCGACAUAAAACUGCCGAAAAACGAAGAGUACGACAUUAUAACUGAGGAAGAGGAUGGCAUUGUGGUCAUGAAACUUGUGCCGCGCUCCAGGACUGAGUGGUACCGCAGGACUCA
Molecule: long non-coding RNA, 134 nt
Organism: Cydia splendana
Lineage: Eukaryota; Metazoa; Arthropoda; Insecta; Lepidoptera; Tortricidae
Exons: 3
Source: RefSeq, a predicted model, not a curated record